RNAcentral lists this ribosomal RNA (305 nucleotides) under uncultured bacterium. RNAcentral describes it as "bacterial SSU rRNA". It matches the Rfam family "Bacterial small subunit ribosomal RNA", at positions 496 to 798 of the family's 1533-position model. The record is from RNAcentral.
UUUUCCUACGGGGGGCAGCAGCCGCGGUAAUACAUAGGGAGCAAGCGUUAUCCGGAUUUAUUGGGUGUAAAGGGUGCGUAGACGGGAAAUUAAGUUAGUUGUGAAAUCCCUCGGCUUAACUGAGGAACUGCAACUAAAACUGAUUUUCUUGAGUACUGGAGAGGAAAGUGGAAUUCCUAGUGUAGCGGUGAAAUGCGUAGAUAUUAGGAGGAACACCAGUGGCGAAGGCGACUUUCUGGACAGUAACUGACGUUGAGGCACGAAAGUGUGGGGAGCAAACAGGAUUAGAAACCCCAGUAGUCCAC